Molecule: ribosomal RNA, 739 nt
Filed under: uncultured euryarchaeote
Lineage: Archaea; Methanobacteriati; Methanobacteriota
Description: bacterial SSU rRNA
Rfam family: Archaeal small subunit ribosomal RNA
Source: RNAcentral
GAAGGGCAUAACCUUGGGAAACUGAGGCUAAUUCCAUAUAGUCUAAAACACCUGGAAGGAGUAUUAGGCGAAAAGAGGCAUGAAUCGUAGUGUUUUCGCCUUACGAUGAGACUGCGUCGGAUCAGGCAGAUGGCGGGGUAACGGCCCACCAUACCUUUGACCCGUAGGGGAUAUGAGAGUAUAAGCCCCGAGAAGGGCACUGAGACAAGGGCCCUAGCGCUACGGCGUGCAGCAGGCGCGCAAACUCCACGAUGUGCGAAAGCAUGAUGGGGGGAGUCUGAGUGGCACGUUUUUAACGUGUCUUUUGCCAAGUCUAGUAAGCUUGGCGAAUAAGUGCUGGGUAAGACCGGUGGCAGCCGCCACGGUAAUACCGGCGGCACAAGUGGUGUUCACUAUUAUUGGGCUUAAAGCGUCCGUAGCUGGCCGGAACCGUCUUAUGUGAAAUAUGCUUGCUCAACAAGCAUGCGUGCAUAAGAUACCUUCCGGCUAGGGAGCGGGAGAGGUCAAGAGUACUUAUGGGGUAGGGGUUAAAUCCUGUAAUCCUGUAAGGACUACCUGUGGCGAAGGCGCUUGACCAGAACGCAUCCGACAGUGAGUGACGAAGGCUAGGAGAACGAAUCGGAUUAGAUACCCGAGUAGCCCUAGCAGUAAAUCAUGCAGACAUUGGUGUUGCACCUAUCUUGAAUAGAUGCAGUACCGUAGGAAAACUGUUAAGUCUGCCGCCUGGGGAGUACGGCCG